Long non-coding RNA from Cercocebus atys (sooty mangabey), 1267 nucleotides. RefSeq lists it as uncharacterized. The record is from RefSeq and is a predicted model, not a curated record. Lineage: Eukaryota; Metazoa; Chordata; Mammalia; Primates; Cercopithecidae. The transcript has 3 exons.
CGUGCUCCUCCGGUGGCCGCCAGCGCCAGGCCCGCAGUGAAGACCAGAACCUCAUUUUCCUCAGCACAGAUCUAAGCGGACACCGCCUCACUUUGGGACAACUUGAGGCUGCGUCAAUGACCUCGUACUGUUGCUAUAUAAUUCAAUAUUGAAGUGAGAGAUUCUCCAGAGCUUGCCCAGAAGCCAAGAUGUCUGGAAAGGAUCUCAGCCUCUCUCAGCCUGCAGCUUGGGAAGAGUGAUUCACAGAGCCUGACUGCCCAUUGCUGCUAAUCCGCACACCGGCCUUGGCUCACACAUCUGACUGGAACUGUCUCCUAUGAGUAACUGCCUCUCUUUAUUCAGCCUUGCAAGUUUCCUGGGAGUGCUUCUAGAAACAAGCGGACUUCACACAUAAAAGGGGACUCUGGGAGACCUAGUUCCUGGCUUCUCUUCUGGAAGUCAGAGAAGAGCACAGGAAGGAGUGGCCACAGUGCCCAACUGACAAUUGACAAUUUCACCAAGUGGUGAUGAUGACAACUAACAUUUACCGAAUCCUUCCCAUGCUGAAAACCCUAUUGUAAGCUAUUUAUGUUCGAUAAGUCACUUAUUCUUCACGGCUAUCCUACCAAGUAAGCAUUAUGAUUAUCCCCACUUUUACAGGUGAAGAAAAUCGAGGCACCAAGAGGUUGGUUAACGUGCCCAAGAUCAGAUCGCACAGCGGUAUAAUAGGAUGGUAAACUCCUAUCAUAUAAUGAACGUUAAGUGGAAAAAAUUAGUAUCCAAAACUGUAAGUCUGAUGUCGCAAACUCUUUUUAUAAUUUAAGUAGUUUAUAAAUACCCUCAUUACUAGCCAUAUUUCUGAGCACUUCAUACGUAGAGUGCACUUUACAGAACACUGUCAUGUAACCCUCACACCGUCUAUGAAAUAAGUGAUAGUUUCCAGUUUCCAAAGACGAAAGCGGGGCUAGGAGAGGCCAAGUGCCUCGCGCGGCGCCUCAGGGUUCGCCCCCGCGGAGCAGACCUCAGGGCAUCCCAGGCGGGCCCCGGCCGAGCUCGCGGCCCUGCGGUGGCUACGCCCGGGCCCAGCCGCUCGCGCUCCUGGAGCCGCCGGACUACGCGGCACGCGGACGCCGAGCCUGCCCUCUUGGGUCUACAUAAAAACCGAAACUACGGGCAGUCUUAACCGAAAUGGAGACUUAAUUUUUUAGACUGUCUUUUGUGUAGUUGAGAAAGCCCCUUGCCGGGACCUGUGCUGCUGGGCCUCCGACCGCGUCCUCACUCCGGGCCC